RNAcentral lists this transfer RNA (94 nucleotides) under Symbiobacterium thermophilum IAM 14863. Its description in RNAcentral is "tRNA-Ser". It matches the Rfam family "tRNA". From Rfam's summary of the family: Transfer RNA (tRNA) molecules are approximately 80 nucleotides in length. Their secondary structure includes four short double-helical elements and three loops (D, anti-codon, and T loops). Further hydrogen bonds mediate the characteristic L-shaped molecular structure. tRNAs have two regions of fundamental functional importance: the anti-codon, which is responsible for specific mRNA codon recognition, and the 3' end, to which the tRNAs corresponding amino acid is attached (by aminoacyl-tRNA synthetases). tRNAs cope with the degeneracy of the genetic code in two manners: having more than one tRNA (with a specific anti-codon) for a particular amino acid; and 'wobble' base-pairing, i.e. permitting non-standard base-pairing at the 3rd anti-codon position. The record is from RNAcentral. Lineage: Bacteria; Bacillati; Bacillota; Clostridia; Eubacteriales; Symbiobacteriaceae.
GGAGAGAUACCCAAGUGGCUGAAGGGGCGGCUUUGCUAAAGCUGUAGGGGGCGCAAGCCCCGCGAGGGUUCAAAUCCCUCUCUCUCCGCCAGCG